Molecule: ribosomal RNA, 1480 nt
Filed under: metagenome
Description: bacterial SSU rRNA
Rfam family: Bacterial small subunit ribosomal RNA
Source: RNAcentral
AGAGUUUGAUCCUGGCUCAGGAUGAACGCUAGCGGCAGGCCUAAUACAUGCAAGUCGUACGGGAUUGAAGACUUCGGUUUUCAUGAGAGUGGCGCACGGGUGCGUAACACGUAUGCAACCUACCUUUAACUGGGGGAUAGCCUUUCGAAAGAGAGAUUAAUACCGCAUAAAACAGCAGCACUGCAUGGUGUCACUGUUAAAGCUUCGGUGGUUAAAGAUGGGCAUGCGUUGCAUUAGCUAGUUGGUAAGGUAACGGCUUACCAAGGCUACGAUGCAUAGGGGAUCUGAGAGGAUGAUCCCCCACACUGGUACUGAGACACGGACCAGACUCCUACGGGAGGCAGCAGUAAGGAAUAUUGGUCAAUGGGCGCAAGCCUGAACCAGCCAUGCCGCGUGCAGGAAGACGGCCCUAUGGGUUGUAAACUGCUUUUAUCGGGGAAUAAACCUCAUUACGUGUAAUGAGUUGAAGGUACCCGAAGAAUAAGGAUCGGCUAACUCCGUGCCAGCAGCCGCGGUAAUACGGAGGAUCCAAGCGUUAUCCGGAUUUAUUGGGUUUAAAGGGUGCGUAGGCGGUUUAUUAAGUCAGUGGUGAAAGCCCGGAGCUCAACUUCGGAACUGCCAUUGAUACUGAUAGACUUGAGUACAGAUGAAGUGGGCGGAAUGUGACAAGUAGCGGUGAAAUGCUUAGAUAUGUCACAGAACACCGAUUGCGAAGGCAGCUCACUAAAGUGUAACUGACGCUGAGGCACGAAAGCGUGGGGAUCAAACAGGAUUAGAUACCCUGGUAGUCCACGCCCUAAACGAUGAUUACUCGCUGUUAGCGAUAUACAGUUAGCGGCUAAGCGAAAGCGUUAAGUAAUCCACCUGGGGAGUACGGUCGCAAGAUUGAAACUCAAAGGAAUUGACGGGGGCCCGCACAAGCGGAGGAGCAUGUGGUUUAAUUCGAUGAUACGCGAGGAACCUUACCCGGGCUUGAAAGUUAGUGAAGAACGUAGAAAUAUGUUCGUCCUUCGGGACACGAAACUAGGUGCUGCUUGGCUGUCGUCAGCUCGUGCCGUGAGGUGUUGGGUUAAGUCCCGCAACGAGCGCAACCCCUAUGUUUAGUUGCCAGCAUGUAAUGAUGGGGACUCUAAACAGACUGCCUGUGCAAACAGAGAGGAAGGAGGGGACGACGUCAAGUCAUCAUGGCCCUUACGUCCGGGGCUACACACGUGCUACAAUGGAUGGUACAGAGGGCUGCAAGCUGGUAACAGCAAGCCAAUCUCAAAAAGCCAUUCACAGUUCGGAUUGAGGUCUGCAACUCGACCUCAUGAAGUUGGAUUCGCUAGUAAUCGCGUAUCAGCAAUGACGCGGUGAAUACGUUCCCGGGCCUUGUACACACCGCCCGUCAAGCCAUGGAAGCUGGGGGUGCCUAAAGUCCGUCACCGAAAGGAGCGGCCUAGGGCAAAACUGGUAACUAGGGCUAAGUCGUAACAAGGUA